UAAAGAGUUCUAUAACUCCCAAACCCAUGUGAACAUACCUAACGUUGCCUCGGCAGGUCGCACCUACCUUGUAGCACCCUACCCUGUAGGGCCUACCCGGGAGGUGCGGGUAAGCCUGCCGGCGGCCCACCAAACUCUGUUUGAUAUUGAAUUCUGAACCUAUAACUAAAUAAGUUAAAACUUUCAACAACGGAUCUCUUGGUUCUGGCAUCGAUGAAGAACGCAGCGAAAUGCGAUAAGUAAUGUGAAUUGCAGAAUUCAGUGAAUCAUCGAAUCUUUGAACGCAUAUUGCGCCCAUUAGUAUUCUAGUGGGCAGGACCGUUCGAGCGUCAUUUCAACCCUUAAGCCUUCGUUGCUUAGUGUUGGGAGCCUACGGCAACGUAGCUCCUCAAAGUUAGUGGCGGAGUUGGUUCACACUCUAGACGUAGUAAUUUUUUAUCUCGCCUAUUAGUUGGACUAAUCCCCUGCCGUAAAACCCCUAAUUUAUCAAGGUUGACCUCGAAUCGGUUCAGACAAACUCGCUAAAUUGAAGCAUCUUAGUCAGCGAAGGAAAAGAAACCAACAGGGAUUGCCCUAGUAACGGCGAGUGAAGCGGCAACAGCUCA
RNAcentral lists this ribosomal RNA (605 nucleotides) under fungal endophyte. RNAcentral describes it as "eukaryotic LSU rRNA". The stretch from base 179 to 332 matches the Rfam family "5.8S ribosomal RNA". The record is from RNAcentral. Lineage: Eukaryota; Fungi.